RNAcentral lists this ribosomal RNA (253 nucleotides) under uncultured bacterium. RNAcentral describes it as "partial 16S ribosomal RNA". It matches the Rfam family "Bacterial small subunit ribosomal RNA", at positions 524 to 776 of the family's 1533-position model. The record is from RNAcentral.
UACGGAGGGUGCAAGCGUUAUCCGGAUUCACUGGGUUUAAAGGGUGCGUAGGAGGGCAGGUAAGUCAGUGGUGAAAUCUCCAAGCUUAACUUGGAAACUGCCGUUGAUACUAUCUGUCUUGAAUACCGUGGAGGUGAGCGGAAUAUGUCAUGUAGCGGUGAAAUGCUUAGAUAUGACAUAGAACACCAAUUGCGAAGGCAGCUCACUACACGAGCAUUGACUCUGAGGCACGAAAGCGUGGGGAUCAAACAGG